GACGAACGCUGGCGGCGUGCUUAACACAUGCAAGUCGAACGGAAAGGCCCUGCUUUUGUGGGGUGCUCGAGUGGCGAACGGGUGAGUAACACGUGAGUAACCUGCCCUUGACUUUGGGAUAACUUCAGGAAACUGGGGCUAAUACCGGAUAGGAGCUCCUGCUGCAUGGUGGGGGUUGGAAAGUUUCGGCGGUUGGGGAUGGACUCGCGGCUUAUCAGCUUGUUGGUGGGGUAGUGGCUUACCAAGGCUUUGACGGGUAGCCGGCCUGAGAGGGUGACCGGCCACAUUGGGACUGCGGUACGGCCCAGACUCCUACGGGAGGCAGCAGUGGGGAAUAUUGCACAAUGGGCGGAAGCCUGAUGCAGCAACGCCGCGUGCGUGAUGACGGCCUUCGGGUUGUAAACCGCUUUCGCCUGUGACGAAGCGUGAGUGACGGUAAUGGGUAAAGAAGCACCGGCUAACUACGUG
RNAcentral lists this ribosomal RNA (468 nucleotides) under uncultured bacterium. RNAcentral's name for it is "partial 16S ribosomal RNA". It matches the Rfam family "Bacterial small subunit ribosomal RNA", at positions 28 to 507 of the family's 1533-position model. The record is from RNAcentral.